This 349-nucleotide long non-coding RNA is filed under the name Homo sapiens (human). RNAcentral describes it as "non-protein coding lnc-SH2D1B-5:2". Lineage: Eukaryota; Metazoa; Chordata; Mammalia; Primates; Hominidae. The record is from RNAcentral.
AGAGAAAUUGAAGAACUGAUGUGGAAAAGAUGAGUCAUGAAGCUACAAGGAUAGACUUUUUGUUCUUAUGGUGUCCUAACUUUGUUGAUAAUUUGGAAAACACUGUUCACAUAAACAUAUUGUCACCACAAUAAAAUCUGAGAUUUGUGGGAAGGAUCAUUUCCUGGGAAGUGGAAUCACUGAGAGAGAAAUUGAAGAACUGAUGUGGAAAAGAUGAGUCAUGAAGCUACAAGGAUAGACUUUUUGUUCUUAUGGUGUCCUAACUUUGUUGAUAAUUUGGAAAACACUGUUCACAUAAACAUAUUGUCACCACUGACUCACUGAGUUUUUUGGCAAGCCUUUUAGACCU